RNAcentral lists this ribosomal RNA (497 nucleotides) under uncultured bacterium. RNAcentral describes it as "partial 16S ribosomal RNA". It matches the Rfam family "Bacterial small subunit ribosomal RNA", at positions 30 to 507 of the family's 1533-position model. The record is from RNAcentral.
AUUGAACGCUGGCGGCAGGCCUAAUACAUGCAAGUCGAGCGGAUGAAGGGAGCGUGCUCCUCUAUUCAGCGGCCGACGGGUGAGUAAUGACUACGAAGCUGACUGGUCGUUGAGAAUAACGUAAGGUAACGGGACCUAAGACCGUAUACGUCCAUAGGUAGAAAGGGAGGGAUCAACAGACCAAAAGGUAUUUGCUGACACUAAGACGUAGAUCCUCGCUGGAUUAGCUAGUUGGUAAGGUAACGGCCUACCAAGGCAACGAUGCGUAGCCGACCUGAGAGGGUGAUCAGUCACACUGGAACUGAGACACGGUCCAGACUCCUACGGGAGGCAGCAGUGGGGAAUAUUCCACAAUGGGCGAAAGCCUGACCGAGCAACGCCGCGUGAGUGAUGAAGGUCUUCGGAUUGUAAAACUCUUUAAGUUGGGAAGAAGAAAAGUAAAUUAAACCAUUCACGUCUUGACGUUACCAAAACAAUAAGCCCCGGCUAACUUCGUG